This 461-nucleotide ribosomal RNA is filed under the name uncultured bacterium. Its description in RNAcentral is "bacterial SSU rRNA". It matches the Rfam family "Bacterial small subunit ribosomal RNA", at positions 29 to 524 of the family's 1533-position model. The record is from RNAcentral.
AACGAACGCUGGCGGCAUGCCUAACACAUGCAAGUCGAACGGGAUCCUGGCUUCGGCCAGGUGAGAGUGGCGGACGGGUGAGUAACGCGUGGGAACCUGCCCAUUGGUCUGGGAUAACUGCGGGGAACUGCAGCUAAUACCGGAUGUACCCGAGAGGGGAAAGAUUUAUCGCCGAUGGAGGGGCCCGCGUCAGAUUAGGUAGUUGGUGAGGUAACGGCUCACCAAGCCUACGAUCUGUAGCUGGUCUGAGAGGAUGAUCAGCCACACUGGGACUGAGAUACGGCCCAGACUCCUACGGGAGGCAGCAGUGGGGAAUAUUGGACAAUGGGGGGCAACCCUGAUCCAGCAAUGCCGCGUGAGUGAUGAAGGCCUUAGGGUUGUAAAGCUCUUUUACCAGGGACGAUGAUGACGGUACCUGGAGAAUAAGCCCCGGCUAACUUCGUGCCAGCAGCCGCGGUAAU